Small nucleolar RNA from Ornithorhynchus anatinus (platypus), 138 nucleotides. The record is from RefSeq and is a predicted model, not a curated record. Lineage: Eukaryota; Metazoa; Chordata; Mammalia; Monotremata; Ornithorhynchidae.
CCCCUCUCAGGAUCUCAACCAGAGAGUUUCCAGUACUCUACCAGUCUCGGAUAUGGGAGGGAGAGUCAAGCAGAGUCCUACCCAUUCCAUUCUUAGCUUGGCCAGUGGCUAGCGAGUGGAAGGCAACCUGCUACAAGU